This 31-nucleotide non-coding RNA is filed under the name Rattus norvegicus (Norway rat). The record is from RNAcentral. Lineage: Eukaryota; Metazoa; Chordata; Mammalia; Rodentia; Muridae.
UAAGCACACGAGUGAAAUUGAUAAUAAAUGG